GGCAGGUUGGCCGAACGGUAAGGCCCGGGGUCCAUCUGGACAAACCCCGGCGGCAAUGUGUGCGUGGACGGGUAGUCCAAGCACUCUGAACCGGAGCGGGUUCAAUUCCCGCACCUGCCU
Molecule: transfer RNA, 120 nt
Filed under: Phycisphaerae bacterium
Lineage: Bacteria; Pseudomonadati; Planctomycetota; Phycisphaerae
Description: tRNA-OTHER
Rfam family: tRNA
About the family: Transfer RNA (tRNA) molecules are approximately 80 nucleotides in length. Their secondary structure includes four short double-helical elements and three loops (D, anti-codon, and T loops). Further hydrogen bonds mediate the characteristic L-shaped molecular structure. tRNAs have two regions of fundamental functional importance: the anti-codon, which is responsible for specific mRNA codon recognition, and the 3' end, to which the tRNAs corresponding amino acid is attached (by aminoacyl-tRNA synthetases). tRNAs cope with the degeneracy of the genetic code in two manners: having more than one tRNA (with a specific anti-codon) for a particular amino acid; and 'wobble' base-pairing, i.e. permitting non-standard base-pairing at the 3rd anti-codon position.
Source: RNAcentral